Molecule: non-coding RNA, 213 nt
Filed under: Devosia sp.
Lineage: Bacteria; Pseudomonadati; Pseudomonadota; Alphaproteobacteria; Hyphomicrobiales; Devosiaceae
Source: RNAcentral
GCAAUAGAAGGCGCUGUCGGUUCCUCAGGCCGGACGGCCGCGAGGAUCAAAAGGGAAUGCGGUGAGGCGUACCCAUCAGGGACCGAAACCGUGGCUGCCCCCGCAACUGUGAGCGGCGAGUGCACCGAACAGCCACUGGCGAUGCUUCGCCGGGAAGGCCGGAGCGCACAGCGACCCGCGAGCCAGGAGACCUGCCGGCACAAGCGAGCUCGA